Molecule: long non-coding RNA, 995 nt
Organism: Cebus imitator (Panamanian white-faced capuchin)
Lineage: Eukaryota; Metazoa; Chordata; Mammalia; Primates; Cebidae
Exons: 3
Source: RefSeq, a predicted model, not a curated record
GAUAGAGCUGGCUCAGAGAAAGAGUCUGUGCUCAUGGGACUGAAGAUUGGACACAGAACUGAGCAUAAAGCCUCAUUAAGGAAAACAAAGGCAAGAAACAGGAGCCAGGGGUUGAAGAUGGGCUGAAGUUAAUCGGAAAUCUGGUUUCGUAAACAGGAACAAGGGAAGGGCAGUGCCCAGGAAUUCUGGGGGAUGCUCUUUUCAGCUGUAGCCACCUGUUAUUAUUGCUCACAUUCUCCAGGUACAGAGGAAGCCAUGUCCAGAGUGCCCUAAAGAAAUUCAGUAGCUUCUGACCAAAUGCCAGAUGGAUUCCUGGAUAAACAUCCUUGUCAAGACGGCACUACUGCUCCAGUAUCUGCUGUCUGGACCAGCGAGUCUCCUGACUGCCGUGAGGCCCUUCUCCCAGGAACUCUGGCUUAUUGAGAUCACAAGUUCUCUGGUGUAGCUGCCCAGAUAACUGCUUGUGACUAGAUUUAACACAGACUACGAUGUGCCAUGUCUCAUGGAAAGUUUUCAAGACUUCUGCCCCUCUGUGGAUCUCCCUAAUACUGGGCUGACUUGUCAGUGAGGGAACAAUAAGGGCUCUAACAAUGCGGGAAGCCAAACAGCGGAGUUUCCCCUGCAGCCCAUGGCAUUGGUUUUAGCCAGCUUCUACUGCAGCUGUUUAAUCAGCGAGAUGUUUAUGAUCUGACCCUCAUCUCGUCCUGUGACUUGGAAUGCCUAACCAUCCGGAAAUGCGGCUGCCCGGUAAGUCUCAGCCUGAUUUUACCCAGCUCCUAUUCAAGAUGGAGUUGCUCUGGUUCAAACGCCUCUGACAUUUCCAUAUAGAUUUGUUUUGAAUCCUGGCUCCAUGAUCUGCUAGCUGAGUGACACUUUGCCGAUGACAUUACCCCAUUGUACCUCAGUUUCCUUAUCUGAAAAAUAGGAAUAACAGUGCUGGUCUCUUAAAAUUAAGAUUAUUGGAGGAAUACAUAAAGUAACACUUGAAAAAUGCU